ACAUAUUUCUCUCUGAUUCUUGGCUGAGUUCUUGGUGAUGUAGGUUUUGCAUGCAGCUACUCAACUGUGGAAAAACAUGCCACAGAGCUCCUGCUCCAGUGCUAAUGCUAAUGCCACGGGUUUUACAGUUUUGACACAGCAGUGGGUCUGAUAACUGAAGACUUAAGUACCAGCAAGGAUUAGCACCUUGCUAGGCUUCCUAGUCACAUGGUCUGUCAUUUUCCUCAGUCCUCUAAUGGUUAUAUUUCUGACAAACAUUACUGUAUGUGGAGCAGUCAGUCCAGCUAUAGAUAUUAUUAGAAAUUCCAUAUCAGUCACAUAUGCAGCAUCAUCCGUGACAUCAGUAGUCUCUCCAAUCUGAUCAUUCAUGAUCAUACAUGCUCUGUGGACAAGUAAAUCACAUUACUGCAGCAUUGUAAAAAGAAUACAUUUAUUUGGUCCUAAUAAAAAUUGAACAGACGUUCGAGUGUUUCUCACAGGGACCCAGCAGCUAAAGGGUUGCGUUAGAACUUCUUCUGUUCUCUUGAUUGUUUGACAGAGAUGAUUUCUUUCAGGGCAUAACGUGAGUGGAGUCUGAAAAAACACAAACAUUUCUGUUUUUCUUUUUCUUACAAACAAUUUCAGGGUCUUAUAUUGUUUAUUUUUGUUUACUGUUGCAUUGUUUUUGUCUUUGUUGAACUUAUUAGCGAGCUACGCUGUGUCCCUCCAUGAUGUCACACUAGUUGAAUAGAUGACAGCUACUGCCAUCUGGUCCACACGCCCUGUGCUGGAAGUAAAAGUCACAUUGGGAUUUACAGGUAUAAACCUGUCCAGGACUACACUUUAGUCCAGCCUCCAUAAUUAAAUAGUAUACUUUGAUUUUCACGAUAUUGGUAUCUUGCACGAUAUAUUUGAAUAUUAACUUGUACUCCUACUCGAACAUAUUUGCUGAUCCAGUUGUUAGGGCUGUCUGUUCCCUCUUCCUGCCUUGUCUGCUGGCUGUAGUUAAUCAGUGUGAUCACAUUCACCUGUGUCUCUGUCAUUAGUCUCACUCAUGUCACCUGGUGCCCUGGGUAUAGUGUAUAUACCUCUCUCCCAGUUUGUCUGUGUGCAGGUUGUGGUUAGAGUCCAUGGUUUGAAGAUGGCAAUGCCUUGAAGUUUAAGCCUUGUUCCUGUGAUCAAAGUCUGGGGGACAGAGGACAAACAGAAAGAGACACUAUUCAUGACUGGACAAGACUCACUGACGUGAUGAACAUUUCUUCUCCUGGAACGUGUCAAAUAUCUGUAGUACUGCAGACUGAACCUCAGCCUGGAGUUAAACUGGGUUGGCUUAGUCCAUGCUGUCUGGAUUCAAAGGCCAAGGCCCUUGUACUCUGCGUCUGGGUGUCUGGGUUUGGACGUCCAACUCUGUCCAGGAUGGCUUAUUUAUGACCUGAGCUGCGUCUGGUCCAGCAGCCAGAGAGACAGAGAGAAAAAAGGGGAGAAUCCGGCGCAUCACUACCAUGGUGCAUUCCAACACACACACACACACACACACACACAAAAGAUCUAACUUACACACAUGCACAGUGAAGAUAAGGUGAUGGGAAUAACUCCCAUGAUCUUAUAUCAGAGACUGAGUGCUGGGCUGGAGUCUGCCUUUCCCGGUGUCCCUUUCUUAAUAAUCAAAAUGAGCUCUAAUGAAUUUUGAAUAUAAAUAAAUAAAAAUAUAAAUAAAACUAAUUCAAAGUUACAUCUCAAUCAUAAUGAUUUUUCCAACCUAUUAAAAAAAGUGGAAUAUUAUUGGACAAAAGACAAAGUACUUCUGGGUCAUGCCACCAUUUCAACUUAUUAUUCAUUUUAAUAUGUUUACAAACUAAUGAUGGUGAUAGAUUUGCAGUUUUGCCUGUAGAGUUAUUCCCAUGUUUGUUUUAUAUAACCCUGUGCUUCCCAACCAUCUCUUCUUAAUGAUGUACCAGACCUUCUAAUCAAAGACAGAUCUGGACUACAGGCAAACCAAAUGUGACGCCAAGGUCUGUGAUUUGUACAGAAUUAGAUCCAAUAUACAGUAUGUAUCAUGGUUGGGGCCAAAAUCAGCUUGAUGUCUUUGAAUGUAGAUUAAUGCAUCAUAAUUUAAAUCCACCUUAGAGACUGGAGCAUAUUUCCUGAUUAUCUACUAGUAAAAUGUGUACUAGACAGUAUGCACAUGUGCAGUUCCAGCGACCUGAUACUCCAGUUUCCUGCUCCAUGUCCUCACUGUGGUUUGGGUGGAGUUUGCACCUACACACUGCACCUCACCCUAUUAGUCACAGCGCUGUCUCCUCUAUAACACUGCCUUCCGGUUGACUGAUGUUUAUGAAGAACCAACCCUGAGUAUAA
Cynoglossus semilaevis (tongue sole) is the source of this 2337-nucleotide long non-coding RNA. RefSeq lists it as uncharacterized. NCBI's taxonomy places the organism in Eukaryota, Metazoa, Chordata, Actinopteri, Pleuronectiformes, Cynoglossidae. The transcript is spliced from 4 exons. The record is from RefSeq and is a predicted model, not a curated record.